GAGAGUUCGAUUCUGGCUCAGGAUGAACGCUAGCGGCAGGCUUAACACAUGCAAGUCGAGGGGCAGCGCGGGUAGCAAUACCUGGCGGCGACCGGCGGAAGGGUGCGUAACGCGUGAGCAACUUGCCCGUAUCCGGGGGAUAGUCAUUGGAAACGAUGCGUAAUACCCCAUAACAACAGAGGCCGCAUGACCUUUGUUUGAAAGCUUCGGCAGAUACGGAUAGGCUCGCGAGACAUUAGCUAGUUGGAGUGGUAACGGCACACCAAGGCAACGAUGUCUAGGGGUUCUGAGAGGAAGGUCCCCCACAUUGGAACUGAGACACGGUCCAAACUCCUACGGGAGGCAGCAGUGAGGAAUAUUGGUCAAUGGCCGGAAGGCUGAACCAGCCAUGCCGCGUGCAGGGAAAAUAAGGCCCUAUGGGUCGUAAACUGCUUUUGUGGUGGAGCAAUAAGACGUACGUGUACGUCGAUGAGAGUACAUCACGAAUAAGCAUCGGCUAACUCCGUGCCAGCCGCGGC
RNAcentral lists this ribosomal RNA (518 nucleotides) under uncultured bacterium. RNAcentral describes it as "bacterial SSU rRNA". It matches the Rfam family "Bacterial small subunit ribosomal RNA", at positions 7 to 518 of the family's 1533-position model. The record is from RNAcentral.